AAGUCGUAACAAGGUUUCCGUAGGUGAACCUGCGGAAGGAUCAUUAAUGAUUUUUUAAGCAAACCAAAAGCGAAAGCGAGGUUUUGCGAAUAUAUUUAAAACCCCCACUCUUUACAAAAGAAAAAAAUUUUCAUAUUCAUAAAUGAAUAAAAAAAGAUCACUUUCAACAACGGAUCUCUUGGCUCUC
This 187-nucleotide unclassified non-coding RNA is filed under the name Septoglomus sp. Its description in RNAcentral is "partial internal transcribed spacer region". The stretch from base 1 to 46 matches the Rfam family "Eukaryotic small subunit ribosomal RNA", at positions 1786 to 1831 of the family's 1831-position model. Lineage: Eukaryota; Fungi; Glomeromycota; Glomeromycetes; Glomerales; Glomeraceae. The record is from RNAcentral.